RNAcentral lists this ribosomal RNA (566 nucleotides) under uncultured bacterium. RNAcentral describes it as "bacterial SSU rRNA". It matches the Rfam family "Bacterial small subunit ribosomal RNA", at positions 240 to 803 of the family's 1533-position model. The record is from RNAcentral.
AUUAGUUAGUUGGCGGGGUAACGGCCCACCAAGACGAUGAUGCGUAGCUGGUCUGAGAGGAUGAUCACCCACACGGGGACUGAGACACGGCCCAGACUCCUACGGGAGGCAGCAGUGAGGAAUCUUGCGCAAUGGGGGAAACCCUGACGCAGCCACGCCGCGUGAAGGAAGACGGCCCUAUGGGUUGUAAACUUCUUUUAUAUGGGAAGAACCGCCUGGUUUCGACCGGGCCUGACGGUACCAUAAGAAUAAGCACCGGCUAACUCCGUGCCAGCAGCCGCGGUAAUACGGAGGGUGCAAGCGUUGUCCGGAAUCAUUGGGUGUAAAGGGUGCGUAGGCGGGUGUCUAAGUCUGGGGUGAAAUCCUACGGCUCAACCGUAGAAUGGCCUUGGAUACUGGGCAUCUUGAGUGUGAGAGAGGUCGGUGGAAUUCGUAGUGUAGCGGUGAAAUGCAUAGAUAUUACGAAGAACACCAGUGGCGUAGGCGGCCGACUGGCUCACAACUGACGCUGAGGCACGAGAGCGUGGGGAGCGAACAGGAUUAGAUACCCUGGUAGUCCACGCUGU